This 253-nucleotide ribosomal RNA is filed under the name uncultured bacterium. RNAcentral describes it as "partial 16S ribosomal RNA". It matches the Rfam family "Bacterial small subunit ribosomal RNA", at positions 524 to 776 of the family's 1533-position model. The record is from RNAcentral.
UACGUAGGGGGCAAGCGUUGUCCGGAUUUAUUGGGCGUAAAGAGCGUGUAGGCGGCCAGGUAAGUCUGCUGUGAAAACUCGAGGCUCAACCUCGAGCUGUCGGUGGAAACUGUCUGGCUAGAGUCCGGAAGAGGAGAGUGGAAUUCCUGGUGUAGCGGUGAAAUGCGCAGAUAUCAGGAAGAACACCUAUGGCGAAGGCAGCUCUCUGGGACGGUACUGACGCUGAGACGCGAAAGCGUGGGGAGCAAACAGG